RNAcentral lists this ribosomal RNA (228 nucleotides) under uncultured bacterium. Its description in RNAcentral is "partial 16S ribosomal RNA". It matches the Rfam family "Bacterial small subunit ribosomal RNA", at positions 568 to 795 of the family's 1533-position model. The record is from RNAcentral.
CGUGUAGGCGGCCAGGUAAGUCAGAUGUGAAAGUCCCGGGCUCAACUCGGGAAGUGCAUUUGAAACUGCUUGGCUUGAGUAGGAGAGAGGAAAGUGGAAUUCCUGGUGUAGAGGUGAAAUUCGUAGAUAUCAGGAGGAACACCGGUGGCGAAGGCGGCUUUCUGGCUCUAUACUGACGCUGGGACGCGAAAGCGUGGGUAGCAAACAGGAUUAGAUACCCUGGUAGUC